Molecule: ribosomal RNA, 253 nt
Filed under: uncultured bacterium
Lineage: Bacteria
Description: partial 16S ribosomal RNA
Rfam family: Bacterial small subunit ribosomal RNA
Source: RNAcentral
UACAGAGGGUGCAAACGUUGCUCGGAAUCAUUGGGCGUAAAGCGCACGUAGGCGGCCUAGCAAGUAGGGAGUGAAAGCCCUCGGCUUAACCGAGGAAGUGCUUUCUAAACUACUAGGCUUGAAUCCGGGAGAGGGAUGCGGAAUUCCAGGUGUAGCGGUGAGAUGCGUAGAUAUCUGGAGGAACACCGGUGGCGAAGGCGGCAUCCUGGACCGGUAUUGACGCUGAGGAGCGAAAGCCAGGGGAGCAAACGGG